AACUAGAGGCAGAGAAUCCGAUUGUAAACAAGAAGCGUAAGGUGCAGCUGAAGGAUGUCGAGCUCGAUCCGAAAAGACCUUCAACACAUACCGGAACAGCAUCACGAAAGAAGAAAAUGUAACCGUAUACCAUUCGCGAAUACCGUUUGAUGGAUUAGGCGAAGCAACAAUUAUAUACAGGAAACCUACGAUAAUUGAAAUAUAAAGCUAGGUUCCUAUUUCAAAACUGUACUUUGGUAAAUGAUAGCAUUUAAAUUAUUUGUUGAAUGCAGCUCUGUGAAAUAAAUUCUUAAUUCAGGAUCA
Long non-coding RNA from Bradysia coprophila, 303 nucleotides. Lineage: Eukaryota; Metazoa; Arthropoda; Insecta; Diptera; Sciaridae. The record is from RefSeq and is a predicted model, not a curated record.